Molecule: long non-coding RNA, 305 nt
Organism: Bos taurus (domestic cattle)
Lineage: Eukaryota; Metazoa; Chordata; Mammalia; Artiodactyla; Bovidae
Source: Ensembl
CCUGAGGUCCUUCUGGAAUAGGAUGAGACCAGAAAUAGAAAGGCAUGACAUUUGAUGCUUCAAAGUGUUUCCAAGAGCUCAACUACUCGGAGACUAGUAGCUGCACAGUGUCGGCUAGACGGUGAGCAGCGCACUGUAAAACCACCUCGCAGACCUGCAGGAUUGUGAAAUAGCUGCUCUGUGGAGGGGGAGAGUUCAUCCCCUUAGGCCAGACAACAGAGUAGCCAGAGAAAAUCAGUCUCGUCUGCAGGAACUCAGUGAAGGUUUUAACCUUUCCUGGCCUCUCCCAACUAAAAGUCCAACUU